Molecule: long non-coding RNA, 731 nt
Filed under: Triticum aestivum (bread wheat)
Lineage: Eukaryota; Viridiplantae; Streptophyta; Magnoliopsida; Poales; Poaceae
Description: long non-coding RNA (TAES_LNC001477)
Source: RNAcentral
CCCUCUUUUGCUUCCCCUGUCAAUCUCAGGAACUCCUCGCAGGUGGUUGCUCAUCCAUCGUGUGAUGGCAUAUACUCAACUGAAUGCUCACCACUGUUCAAACUGUAGCGCUAAGAAUUUGUUCUCUCUUCUAUGAAAUUUUAUUGCAUGUUCGCUUACCUCUCUUCUUUCUGCAGUAUUCUUCGACGCCUUUCGGCCUCUGUCACCGCCGCUCCCUGAACUGCUAUCCGCUGCACAAGCAACAUACUGGGCCGUUCAACUUCCUGCCGCUGGCGCCGUGGGUCACCACAAAAUCGAGGUCGCUGCCCCUUGGCUCUUGCUGCUCUCGCCGCAGAUAUUUUAUGCCAGUAAGGUGUUUGUGUUAAUGGCUGAAAAGAGAAGAAUUUUUUGCCCCUGAAUUAUGUUUUGUGUUAGGAUGGCUAGUGACAUUGGAGAAUAAGUGGAGUACAAAUCUAAUUUUCUUGGAGGUUCAUUGUGUCUCUGUCGAGCAGUACAUUCUCUGAAUUAAGUCUGAUGUAAUUGGUUAAUGAAAACAAAACAAUUGUUCAAAUGUGCAUUAUAGAAAACAAUUCAUACAAAAAAGCAGUCAAGUAUUGUUGUAAAUUACAAAACAAUAGUCAGUUUUGUUUACAAAAAAGUUCACCACAUAAAAAAUGCAACAGUAGUUCAACACAAUAUACAGGAGGGUGUGAGUUGGAUAUGUUUACAAACUAAAGAUAUGUGUCAAAGAG